RNAcentral lists this long non-coding RNA (261 nucleotides) under Prunus dulcis (almond). RNAcentral's name for it is "sRNA ncRNA". The record is from RNAcentral. Lineage: Eukaryota; Viridiplantae; Streptophyta; Magnoliopsida; Rosales; Rosaceae.
AUGUUUAUCAAACAAAAGAAAUCUUUACAACUAAGCUAUCCAAUGAACAUUUACUUGCUAAGAAAUAUUACAAAUCCCUUUCGCCACCAACUCCUCCACCAACUUCUCCAUCACUGCUUUCCCAAACCCCAGCCCCAGCCCCAGCAGCUGAAAUGAGGGGUUGACCACCACGUCCCAUAUGAUCACGUUGAAAAUGCCGUCCCCUGUUGCUCUCGCAAACGCCACAUGCCUUUUCAUCUUCCUGUACUCCAUCCACAGUAG